This 484-nucleotide ribosomal RNA is filed under the name uncultured bacterium. RNAcentral's name for it is "bacterial SSU rRNA". It matches the Rfam family "Bacterial small subunit ribosomal RNA", at positions 28 to 507 of the family's 1533-position model. The record is from RNAcentral.
GAUGAACGCUAGCGACAGGCCUAACACAUGCAAGUCGAGGGGCAGCACAAGGAGCAAUCUGAGGUGGCGACCGGCGCACGGGUGAGUAACACGUAUGCAACCUACCUGUAAGAGGGGAAUAACCCGUUGAAAAACGGACUAAUACCGCAUAACACUGUAGAACCGCAUGGUUUGACAGUUAAACAUUUAUGGCUUACAGAUGGGCAUGCGCAUGAUUAGCUAGUUGGUGAGGUAACGGCUCACCAAGGCAACGAUCAUUAGGGGUUCUGAGAGGAAGGUCCCCCACACUGGUACUGAGACACGGACCAGACUCCUACGGGAGGCAGCAGUGAGGAAUAUUGGUCAAUGGGCGAGAGCCUGAACCAGCCAAGUCGCGUGAAGGAUGAAGGUUUUAUGAAUUGUAAACUUCUUUUGCAGGGGAAUAAAGUGUCCGACGUGUCGGAUUUUGUAUGUACUCUGCGAAUAAGGAUCGGCUAACUCCGUG